Molecule: long non-coding RNA, 688 nt
Filed under: Bos grunniens (domestic yak)
Lineage: Eukaryota; Metazoa; Chordata; Mammalia; Artiodactyla; Bovidae
Description: lncRNA (ENSBGRG00000002576.1)
Source: RNAcentral
CCUCUCCCUGAUACCUCAAUGCUGGAACUAUUUCAGUUCUGUCUAUCACCCUAUUUGGUCUGCAUUGUUCUUAGAGCAGGAUGAAGUAAACAAUUUAUCUCUGAAGAUAUACUGCAUAUCACAGAACACAAGCCUGUCAUACGUAUACAUAUAGGAAACAUUCAUAGUCACACAUGUAUACACACACCCUGGAUAUCUGCAAGGCAUCUGAAUUUGAGACCUUGAUCCUCUUCCUCUUCAUAGGGUUGUUGUGAGGGUUCAGUGGACAGAUGCCUGCAGAGUCCUCAGCACAGUGCUUGGUAUGCAGCAAGUGCUCACUCGAUACAACCAGCUGAUGUUAUAGUAAGUGAUCCUUCCCGCCCAGCGGCAUCUUCUCCAGCCAGCUCAGACUGGGCAUUGCUCAGGACCAGGGCGCCCUCUGGUGGCUGCUGUCUCUACUCACACUUCAGACCCCUUUAGAAAGAUCUGGGCUCCUUUCUCACAGCUCCCCUCCCCUGCCGCUCAAGGGGAAAGGGGCAGCCCGGCUCUGUGGACGCCCAAGGCCACCUCCAGAGAGGACGCCAGACAACGGGAGGGCAGUGCAUCCACAGAGUCUCCCCGGGCUAUUAUGAGGUGGUCUUUGUUUAAGUUCUUCCCGAACUUCUCACUGAGCUGUUGGAUGAGGUCGGCCAGCUCUCCGGUAGCUUGA